AAGACCUCGCGCUAUUAGAGCGGCCGAUGCCCGAUUAGCUAGUUGGUGAGGUAAUGGCCCACCAAGGCUACGAUCGGUAGCUGGUCUGAGAGGACGGCCAGCCACACUGGGACUGAGACACGGCCCAGACUCCUACGGGAGGCAGCAGUGGGGAAUUUUGGACAAUGGGGGCAACCCUGAUCCAGCCAUGCCGCGUGAGUGAAGAAGGCCUUCGGGUUGUAAAGCUCUUUCAGCCGGAACGAAACGGUUACGGUUAAUACCCGUGAUUACUGACGGUACCGGAAGAAGAAGCACCGGCUAACUACGUGCCAGCAGCCGCGGUAAUACGUAGGGUGCGAGCGUUAAUCGGAAUUACUGGGCGUAAAGCGUGCGCAGGUGGUUUUGUAAGUCAGAUGUGAAAGCCCCGGGCUCAACCUGGGAACU
This 423-nucleotide ribosomal RNA is filed under the name uncultured bacterium. Its description in RNAcentral is "bacterial SSU rRNA". It matches the Rfam family "Bacterial small subunit ribosomal RNA", at positions 202 to 622 of the family's 1533-position model. The record is from RNAcentral.